AACGAACGCUGGCGGCGUGCCUAACACAUGCAAGUCGAACGAAAACGUCCUGUCUUUUGGCGCUCCGGUGGGUGCCACCGGGGAAGCUGCCCGUGGGUUCCGAAUACUUCACCGAGAGAGAUCUUAAGGCAAGUGAAGCUCUUACCACCAAAGAUUUACCGCCUGUGGGUGGGCGCGAGUUGGAUUCGCUUGUUGGGAGGGGAAAAGCCUACCAACGGGACGAUCCAUAGCUGGUCUGUGAGGAUGAUCAGGCAGACUGGGACUGAGACACGGCCCAGACUCCUACGGGAGGCAGCAGUGGGGAAUAUUGGACAAUGGGCGAAAGCCUGAUCCAGCAAUGCCGCGUGAGUGAUGAAGGCCUUAGGGUUGUAAAGCUCUUUUACCCGGGAUGAUAAUGACGGUACCGGGAGAAUAAGCUCCGGCUAACUCCGUG
This 433-nucleotide ribosomal RNA is filed under the name uncultured bacterium. Its description in RNAcentral is "partial 16S ribosomal RNA". It matches the Rfam family "Bacterial small subunit ribosomal RNA", at positions 29 to 507 of the family's 1533-position model. The record is from RNAcentral.